Long non-coding RNA from Oncorhynchus tshawytscha (Chinook salmon), 1285 nucleotides. RefSeq lists it as uncharacterized. The transcript has 3 exons. The record is from RefSeq and is a predicted model, not a curated record. NCBI's taxonomy places the organism in Eukaryota, Metazoa, Chordata, Actinopteri, Salmoniformes, Salmonidae.
UUUUUUAAAUCAAGAAAUUCACAAAAGCUCUGACGAAGGCAGUGAGACUGAUAUGUAAACUUAUUAAACAUCAGUGAUACUAUCAAGAGCUGUGAGGGAACUAUGUACGCAACCGGAUAGAAGUCACGCAGUAAUCCUUUAUAUGAUUUUGUGGCUGUGGGAAUUAUUAUUGUCUGAGCUAGAAUCAAAUCAUGUUGCGAACUAUGUAAGCAACCGGAAAGAGUAAUCCUUUGUAUGACUUUGUGGCUGUGACGACUACCAUAUUUGGCUCGCUGACAAACAAACGCCAGUACUUGAACUGCGUAGCAGCAUAUCAGAGUAAUCCACGCAGAAAUGGAACCGAAAUCACAGAAAAUAUAGUAGACGUUGUGGUGGCAGCUGUAGAGAGGUAUUUGGGUAUACGCGAUUUGUGUUCAGAGGAGUUACAGGGUGUGUUGAGUGGUGGUGACCCAUGUUAAAAUUAUUCCAAUUGUAGCCUGUUUCCUUGCGUAGGCUAACGUUGCUUGGUUGUACAUCCUCAAUUCUGGAACUGCAAAUGUAACGUUAUUAUUCUUAUAUGGGUUAGAAUGAAAUGUCCGCAACAGGAAGAGAGUCAUGCAGUAACCCUUUUAGCCACAACUUCCUAAGAAAAGCUGUGGCCUACAUGUGAUGUACAGCUGUUUACAGUUUUUUUUUUACAAUUGCUUACACACUAAAGUGGUACUUGAGGCACACUCAGUGAAACCAAGUCAUGUGCCUAAUCUUCAGACCAAGUCUGCAAAACUGCAAGCACUUUAUCUGCUUUACAUUCAGUUUGCAAUUGUAAAGCACUUUUUGCAAAACAUUCAAAUCAGAGCUUGGGGGGGCAAGGACGAGGAGAACAAUCACAAAUGAGAUAUGGGCUGUUUUGGUUGAGUUUCAGGGAGGCUAGGCAGAGGGUCCAGCCUAACUUGAGCCGCUACACUGCAGCAAGUGUCGUUCGGAGAACAGAAUUGCUAGACAACCCUUCAAUGGUGGAAGAAACUGGCUGUUCACUGCAGAGCAGGACCAACACAGUGAAUAUGGUCAUUUUAAACAACCGCAUACGUUAAUGACAACUGCAACCCCACAUCAUCACUGACAACACAACAUUCAGUAACAUAGUGUGAGUUUAUCCGCACUUGGCCGUCUCCUGAAACGCCAUCAGAUUUGUAUGAAGCAGCUCUACAGAGUACCAUUUGAGCGAAAUUCUGACAGUGUGAAACAACUGCGCUAUGAGUACGUACAAAGGAGAGGCGAGAAGGAUCGGAGGACCAAAAUGCGGCGU